AACGAACGCUGGCGGCGUGGAUUAGGCAUGCAAGUCGAACGCGAAAGAGGGGGCAACCCCUCAAGUAGAGUGGCGAACGGGUGAGUAACGCGUGAAGAACCUGCCUUCAACAGGGGGAUAACACUCCCAACGGGGUGCUGAUACCGCAUGAGACCACGGAUCUGCAUGGAUCUGAGGUCAAAGGUGGUCUCUGCUUGCAAGCUACCGGUUGAAGAUGGCUUCGCGUCCCAUUAGCUAGUUGGCGGUGUAACGGACCACCAAGGCGACGAUGGGUAGCUGGUCUGAGAGGAUGGUCAGCCACACUGGGACUGAGAUACGGCCCAGACUCCUACGGGAGGCAGCAGUCGAGAGGCUUUGGCAAUGGGGAAACCCUGACCAAGCGACGCCGCGUGGAGGAUGAAGGCCCUUGGGUU
RNAcentral lists this ribosomal RNA (413 nucleotides) under uncultured bacterium. Its description in RNAcentral is "bacterial SSU rRNA". It matches the Rfam family "Bacterial small subunit ribosomal RNA", at positions 29 to 424 of the family's 1533-position model. The record is from RNAcentral.